Sorex araneus (European shrew) is the source of this 1898-nucleotide long non-coding RNA. RefSeq lists it as uncharacterized. The transcript is spliced from 3 exons. NCBI's taxonomy places the organism in Eukaryota, Metazoa, Chordata, Mammalia, Eulipotyphla, Soricidae. The record is from RefSeq and is a predicted model, not a curated record.
UUGAAACUUGCAUUAUUCUGGUUUUAAAUUCUUUUCCUCUCUCUAUUCUGGGAACUGCAGGGCCGUGGAGGAGCUGGGAGAGGGAGGACUCGGUUUUCCUGAGGACCCUCCUUAACAGAGAAACGCUGGACAUCCCGUCUGCAGUCGGACGACCCUUACCUGCCUUCCAGCCUGGAUCCAUAGAGAGGCAAAGCGGAGAGGAAUCUGGGAAGCGAAGGCAGCCAGGCCGGCAGGAACGAGGGCUGAAGGAGCACUGGAAUCCCUCCGUAGCAGGGGGAGGUUCACACCAGGCAAUGCUUGUGGAUUACUCCUGGCUCUGCACUUAGGAAUUACUCCUCAAGGCUAGGACAAGUGGAGACGUUACUGGUGCCCGCUCGAGAAAAUCGACGAUCAACGGGAUGACAGUGACAGUGACAGUGCUCAGGGGACCAUAUGGGAUGCCGGGAAUCAAAUCUGGGUCAGCUUCGUGCAAGGAACAGGGAGUCGACUUCAGGCCUCUUCCCAGGUUGAAGGAGACGGGCCUCACUCCUACCUGAGGCCCCCGUCAGUACCAGCUUCCUCCCGGGGAAGGUCCCAACGGAGCUCCUGGCUCGGAGACAGCGCCCCAACCCCUGCCCCGGGCCUCUUUCCAUCUGCCCCUGCCUGGGCUUCCUCCACGACCCCUGUCGGAACAGUCGCUGCUGUGUGUCGAGUCCAGGGUCACUGGCCCCUGGUCCUGGUGGAGUGUCUGACCCCGGCGUCUAGUGGACACUUAGUAGACGCCUCCGGAACAUCGCAAGGCAUCAUCCUCGAGGAACCUAUGAAGACCCUGAAUUCCAGAGAAGUGGAGCUUUCCUUAGGACACCCCAACAAACUGGUGACCUGUCCUCUCUGUCCUCUGCUAGGACAUCUUGCCUGGCCUCCUUCUCCCUCUGCGUGGACAUAGCAGGGGCACGGAACACCCACGGCUGUGCACUCCGACUCAACCCACUUUCAUUUAAAAUAUUUAUACAUGUAUAUUUAUUUUAUAAAGUAGCACUGUAGCACUGUUGUCCCAUUGUUCAUCGAUUUGCUCAAGCGGGCACCAGUAAUGUCUCCAUUGUGAGAUUUGUUGUUACUUUUUUUUUUUGCAUAUCAAAUACACCACGGGGAGCUUACCAGGCUCUGCUGUGUGGGUGGGAUACUCUUGGUCGCUUGCCCGGCUCUCUGAGAGGGAUGGAGGAAUCGAACCCGGGUUGGCUGCGUACAAGGCAAACGGCCUGCCUGCUGUGCUAUCGCUGCAGCCCAUUUUAUAAAACAGUUCACAAUAUUUCAUUGCAUGUAAUAUUCAAACACCAACCCCAUGACACCCUAUUUCGGGUGUUUCCAUCCCUGCCCAAAGCAGAACCGAAAUAAUAUAUUUUGUAUUGUUUGUUAUGAAAAGCCACUGGAAACGUUGUCAGAAGUUGAUCCUUGUGUGCUUUUAUGUAUAUAUGUAUAUCUUUAAAAAUAGAUAUAUCCCUCUAAGAUUGGUUGCCUCCUACUUUGUGGCGCAGCACACUCGGAGUACGGGUCGGGUGUGUGGUAUGAAGGGUCACACUCGCAGUGGCGCCGUCCUGUAACAGAUUCACUCGUGGGUGAGGCUUGGCCCGAGCCUGUGGAGAGUGGCCGUGAGCAUGGUGGCGGUUGAGUUCUGGAGGUUUCCAGCUGCCGGGCUGGGUCCCUUGGGGCGGGGAGGGCUCCCACCCACCCCUCCGGGACACCCCAAGUGAAACAGCCUGGCCUGGGGUCCGGUGGCAUGGUUAUGGCGGGUGUCGCGGUGUGCUCCCUUCCGGGAGAGAAGGACUUGCGAUCUGGAUGGAGGCCGAUGACGAGAUUAUCUGGCGCCGGCCAGGGGUGGCUUCCGGGCGUGACUGCUGAGUUGCCGGAGACAGGGGGAU